This 596-nucleotide ribosomal RNA is filed under the name Ogilbia cayorum. RNAcentral describes it as "partial 16S ribosomal RNA". It matches the Rfam family "Bacterial large subunit ribosomal RNA", at positions 1808 to 2606 of the family's 2925-position model. The record is from RNAcentral. Lineage: Eukaryota; Metazoa; Chordata; Actinopteri; Ophidiiformes; Bythitidae.
CAAAAACAUCGCCUCUUGCAAAAUCAAAGAAUAAGAGGUCCCGCCUGCCCUGUGACAAUCAGUUUAACGGCCGCGGUAUUUUGACCGUGCGAAGGUAGCGCAAUCACUUGUCUCUUAAAUGGGGACCUGUAUGAAUGGCACAACGAGGGCUUGACUGUCUCCUUUUCCUAAUCAAUGAAAUUGAUCUCCCCGUGCAGAAGCGGGGAUCAAAACAUAAGACGAGAAGACCCUAUGGAGCUUUAGACACUAGGAAGGACCACAUCAUUCAUUCCCCAAAACAAAGGAUCAAACUAAACGGCCCCCUUCCCCAUGUCUUUGGUUGGGGCGACCACGGGGAAAUAUAAAACCCCCACGAGGACCGGGAAUACUACCCCCUAAAACUAAGAGCAACAGCUCUAAGCACCAGAAUAUCUGACCUAAAAGAUCCGGCGUAAGCCGAUCAACGAACCGAGUUACCCUAGGGAUAACAGCGCAAUCCUCUUCUAGAGCCCAUAUCGACAAGAGGGUUUACGACCUCGAUGUUGGAUCAGGACAUCCUAAUGGUGCAGCCGCUAUUAAGGGUUCGUUUGUUCAACGAUUAAAGUCCUACGUGAUCU